RNAcentral lists this transfer RNA (61 nucleotides) under Actinacidiphila cocklensis. RNAcentral's name for it is "tRNA-Ser". Lineage: Bacteria; Bacillati; Actinomycetota; Actinomycetes; Kitasatosporales; Streptomycetaceae. The record is from RNAcentral.
AGGCAGGGUCUGACCAGGACUUUUAAUCCAUUGGUUGUGGGUUCGAGUCCCACACGGCCUA